CCUACGGGAGGCAGCAGUGGGGAAUAUUGGACAAUGGGCGAAAGCCUGAUCCAGCCAUGCCGCGUGUGUGAAGAAGGCCUUCGGGUUGUAAAGCACUUUCAGUGGGGAAGAAAGCCUUGGGGCUAAUACCCUCGAGGAAGGACAUCACCCACAGAAGAAGCACCGGCUAACUCCGUGCCAGCAGCCGCGGUAAUACGGAGGGUGCGAGCGUUAAUCGGAAUUACUGGGCGUAAAGCGCGCGUAGGCGGUCUGAUAAGCCGGUUGUGAAAGCCCCGGGCUCAACCUGGGAACGGCAUCCGGAACGGCAAGGCUAGAGGGGGGGAGAGGAAGGUAGAAUUCCCGGUGUAGCGGUGAAAUGCGUAGAGAUCGGGAGGAAGACCAGUGGCGAAGGCGGCCUUCUGGACUGACACUGACGCUGAGGUGCGAAAGCGUGGGUAGCAAACAGGAUUAGAUACCCGAGUAGUC
Molecule: ribosomal RNA, 465 nt
Filed under: Vreelandella stevensii
Lineage: Bacteria; Pseudomonadati; Pseudomonadota; Gammaproteobacteria; Oceanospirillales; Halomonadaceae
Description: partial 16S ribosomal RNA
Rfam family: Bacterial small subunit ribosomal RNA
Source: RNAcentral